AAAAUGAUGCUAAAUUAGAAGAGUAAUUUUUUAUGUGUUUAUAGAGAGCUAACGGAUGCUGAGAGUUAGUAACAUUAAAGAAUGAAUGGACUAAUUAUUUCAUGAAAGUAACCCAUAUCUUUCAGGUUUGGCACCCCUUAUCGUGCACUUUUUCUUUUGGAAAAGAUGAGAUAACAUUAAUGAUUAAUGUUAAUUGAGGUGGUACCGCGUAUUCACAAGUAAUGACGCCCUCACA
RNAcentral lists this non-coding RNA (235 nucleotides) under Streptococcus iniae. Its description in RNAcentral is "T-box sequence". It matches the Rfam family "T-box leader". From Rfam's summary of the family: Uncharged tRNA acts as the effector for transcription antitermination of genes in the T-box leader family. T-boxes are found upstream of many aminoacyl-tRNA synthetase genes and some amino acid biosynthetic genes usually in Gram-positive bacteria. Lineage: Bacteria; Bacillati; Bacillota; Bacilli; Lactobacillales; Streptococcaceae. The record is from RNAcentral.